AUUAGAUACCCCGGUAGUCCUAGCCGUAAACGAUACUCGCUAGGUGUCGGCCACGGUGCGACCGUUGUCGGUGCCGUAGGGAAGCCGUGAAGCGAGCCACCUGGGAAGUACGGCCGCAAGGCUGAAACUUAAAGGAAUUGGCGGGGGAGCACCACAACGGGUGGAGCUUGCGGUUUAAUUGGAUUCAACGCCGGAAAUCUUACCGGGACCGACAGCAAUAUGAAGGCCAGGCUGAAGACUUUGCCGGAUUAGCUGAGAGGAGGUGCAUGGC
This 271-nucleotide ribosomal RNA is filed under the name uncultured archaeon. RNAcentral describes it as "partial 16S ribosomal RNA". It matches the Rfam family "Archaeal small subunit ribosomal RNA", at positions 728 to 998 of the family's 1478-position model. The record is from RNAcentral.